Molecule: ribosomal RNA, 382 nt
Filed under: Enterococcus faecium
Lineage: Bacteria; Bacillati; Bacillota; Bacilli; Lactobacillales; Enterococcaceae
Description: bacterial LSU rRNA
Rfam family: Bacterial large subunit ribosomal RNA
Source: RNAcentral
CCUGGGGCUGUAGUCGGUCCCGAGGGUUGGGGUUGUCGCCCAUUAAAGCGGGAAGCGAGGUGGGUUCAGAACGUCGUGAGACAGUUCGGUCCCUAUCCGUCGGGGGCGGUGGGAAUUUGAGAGGRGCUGUCCUUAGUACGAGAGGACCGGGAUGGACUUACCGCUGGUGUACCAGUUGUUCUGCCAAGGGCAUUGCUGGGUAGCUAUGUAGGGAAGGGAUAAACGCUGAAAGCAUCUAAGUGUGAAGCCCACCUCAAGAUGAGAUUUCCCAUUUCUUUAAGAAAGUAAGAUCCCUGAGAGAUGAUCAGGUAGAUAGGUCAGGAGUGGAAGUACAGUGAUGUAUGGAGCGGACUGAUACUAAUCGAUCGAGGACUUAACCAAU